RNAcentral lists this transfer RNA (69 nucleotides) under Oxalis debilis. RNAcentral's name for it is "partial tRNA-Leu". Lineage: Eukaryota; Viridiplantae; Streptophyta; Magnoliopsida; Oxalidales; Oxalidaceae. The record is from RNAcentral.
CGGAUUGAGCCUUGGUAUGGAAAAUCCGUCGACUUUAUAAAUCGUGAGGGUUCAAGUCCCUCUAUCCCC